UUUUAUAUAAAAUUUUGCGUGUGUGUGUUUUUUAAAUGACUCGAAAAAUGGAACACAUUUAAGCAUAUUCAUAAAUGUUGUCUUUCAAGAGUUUUACCUGCAAUGCGAACAGAACAGAACUGACCCAAUCAAGUGCUGCAAGUAAUUAAUGAAAUGUAAAUUUUGCAGGUGAUUGCAGAGACUUGCCGUUGAUAAGGAGAAUGGAUUCGCGAUAUAUAGUAUAUAGAGGCAUACAGGAGCUGUUUAAUAUUAAGAUUUAGUAUUAUGAUAUAUGUAUAUGCAUAUUUAUAUAAUUUAUUUUGCUCCAUAAGAAACAAUGUUUUUAAAUUUUAGCUUCAAUAAAAGAAACGAAUUGAAAUGCUAAAAAUUGUGUUUUUAUUUCACAGCCUAAAAUUCAAAUUUGAAUAAAUACGUUGCAUCGGCUCUCGGGAAGUACCAGACGAGCAGAAAUCAGUUACAGGGUGAUGUUAGUUUAAAUUUGGGCAUGAAUAAAAUUUACAUAUACAUGACACAGUAAAUUCCAAUGUUAACUUAAUGUCAACUAAUUAAUAUUGGUCAUUACUGGUACAUUUGAAAAAGCGUUAAAUUAUGAAUUCUCAACGUCCGCACUUGCCACGUGAGGCUUUGGUUGAGGCUUUUCUUCUUUAAAAGUAUCAGGCGAAGAGAAAUGAGUAGUAAGAUGACUCCACUAUAAAUUAACAGUUUCAUUUGAGAUUUUUAACUAAACAUGCCUAAAAGUAUGCAAUAUAAUAUUCACUGUUAGUUAACAUUUCACUCUUAACUCAAGGUCAAAUUAAUGUAAACUAAAAUUUAUCAUGCUGCUGGUUAUUUCUGUUCGCCUGUUACUUUAGGGAAAUACAGCUUCUCUUUGAGGCUAUGGCCACGAUGUUAUUUAACAUAUUGGGAUGGCUACAGCGGAAACGUUGCUGCUGCAGCUUAUUCCAGCUGGAAACAAAGAUGCCGUAUCAGGCGAAGAGAAAUGAGUAGCAAGAUGACUCCUCUUUAAGUUUACAGUGUCAUGUUAUUUUUUAAUCGAGCAUGCCUAAAAGUAUGCAAUCUAAUUUUUCUGUUAACUAACAUUUCACUCUUAACUCAAGGUAAAAUUAAUGUAAACUAAAAUUUAUCAUGCUGCUGGUCAUUUCUGUUCGCCUGGUACUUUAGGGAAAUGCAGCUUCUUUUUGAGGCUAUAUCCACGAUGUUAUUUAACAGAUUGGGAUGGCUACAGCGGAAACGUUGCUGCUGCAGCAUAUUCCAGCUGGAAACAAAGAUGCCGUAUCAGGCGAAGAGAAAUGAGUAGCAAGAUAACUCCUCUUUAAGUUUACAGUGUCAUGUUAUUUUUUAAUCGAGCAUGCCUAAAAGUAUGCAAUGUGAUUUUUUAUGUUAGCUAACAUUUCACUCUUAACUCAAGGUCAACUUAAUGUAAACUAAAAUUUGACAUGCUGCUGGUCAUUUCUGUUCGCCUGGUACUUGUAUUUUUCAGCAGAUUGAGAGAGAGGCUACACCUGAUAUGUAUGUAAUCCUCUUUUCGCAUGGCAUACAUAACCAAUGAUUUGUGGGUCAACUGGUAGAUCUUGAGGAAACGCCUGAGCAUUCAGGUCGGAUUAGUGAAGGAAAUAUUAUUCAUAUUUCCGUUCACAUUUUGACCUACUUGACUGGCUUAAUCGGACAAUAUCCUUGCUAUGACUGAAACAAGGAUAUAUAGAAGUCACUGGAAACCAGCUCGCUCUAUUGAUCAUCCAAAGUCAAUUGGUAUCAAUUAGCGAGAUGCUGUAGAAUAUAAUAUUUAGAAUAAUAGCUAUAUUUAAGCUAUAUUCAGUUGCCUGAUUUGGCAUUAAUCUAAGCCAACGUUGAAGUUGAGCCUGAACUGAGACUAAUACAUUAAUUGGUACAGUUACAAGCUAUAUGAAUGAUGAUAUCUGUCAGUUAACGUCUUGUUCUGAGUUUUUAAUACUAACUAUAUUAGUUUUCCAUUUAGUCAAUGUGUCCAUGUCUGUGUAUGUAAGUGUAUUUGUGUGGCAUAUACAACUUUGAAUUGCAACGAUUUUCGGCUUUGACUUAACAUCUCUCCAUCGCUCUAUCUCCGUCUCGCUCUGGCACUCCGCGUGGCAUAAUCUAUUAAUACCUUUUAAACUGGGUCACAGUUUCAAUUUUCGUUGCAUUUGACAGCCUAAUAAAAGAUACAUGCGCUCAUACAUGUCAAACUAAACUCUAAACUACAUUUUCGAUGAAUGUCCAUUGAAACGGAAAUGUUUGAAUUUUGAGGUGUGCUGUCAAUGUCAAUGAUGGGGCAUUGAUAUCUAUAGAAACUGGAGGAACGAAAAAUUCUUUGCUGAAACUCUUCUGCUUGCUUGGACGCCAGGUAAAUUGCAAUAUUCAUAAAUAUAAACUCUAGAGAUGAGAUGAGAAUCAUAAGUUGGCUGAAAGCACAUAAGCACAGACCAUAAAAUCAAAAUGAUAUUUUAAGCCAUAAAAAUAAAAGCGGGCAAACGCAACGCAACUGUUGCAUGCAAUCAAAUUGAUGGCAUAUUUUUUAUUAAAGGAAUUAAAUGCGACAGCAUUCAAGUCAAGAACGCAAAUAAAGGACUGGCCCACUGAAGACUGGCCAGGAUAAUGAUAUGCAAACACGAAUUGUCUUUGGACAACAUGCGGCUUCAUUAGGCAAAUAGGCAAACAAGUGUCCUGCGUGGACGGGCGAGAGUCGAACGAUGAUGGAACGUUUCUAUUUUUUACUAUUUCCUUUUGGUCAUUGGAUUUUUUUUUUGUUUUUUGUUGGCAUGGCGUCAUACAGAAGGAGGAUUUCGUCGUGGCAGCACACAUAUUGAAGGCGAAAUUAACACCGAGCAAACAAAUAAUUCUAGUGUGUGUGGAUGGGGCGUGGCGGGGCGAGAUGGAGCGGAGUGCGUCUUGCUGUUGCCCAGAAAACUGAUAUCUAAUUGAGUAAACAGCAAAGUGAAUGGCCAUGAAUUAGCCAGAGGCGUAGUCAUGGACCCAUUGCCAUUAAUUUGCUGAUAUAUGUAUGUAUAUAGGUAUACUAUAUAAAUAUACAUAUAUACACAUCUA
Long non-coding RNA from Drosophila mojavensis, 3060 nucleotides. RefSeq lists it as uncharacterized. NCBI's taxonomy places the organism in Eukaryota, Metazoa, Arthropoda, Insecta, Diptera, Drosophilidae. The record is from RefSeq and is a predicted model, not a curated record. The transcript is spliced from 4 exons.